UUUAUGGAGAGUUUGAUCCUGGCUCAGGAUGAACGCUGGCGGCGUGCCUAAUACAUGCAAGUCGAGCGAACGGACGAGAAGCUUGCUUCUCUGAUGUUAGCGGCGGACGGGUGAGUAACACGUGGAUAACCUACCUAUAAGACUGGGAUAACUUCGGGAAACCGGAGCUAAUACCGGAUAAUAUUUUGAACCGCAUGGUUCGAAAGUGAAAGACGGUCUUGCUGUCACUUAUAGAUGGAUCCGCGCUGCAUUAGCUAGUUGGUAAGGUAACGGCUUACCAAGGCAACGAUGCAUAGCCGACCUGAGAGGGUGAUCGGCCACACUGGAACUGAGACACGGUCCAGACUCCUACGGGAGGCAGCAGUAGGGAAUCUUCCGCAAUGGGCGAAAGCCUGACGGAGCAACGCCGCGUGAGUGAUGAAGGUCUUCGGAUCGUAAAA
RNAcentral lists this ribosomal RNA (440 nucleotides) under Staphylococcus aureus. RNAcentral describes it as "bacterial SSU rRNA". It matches the Rfam family "Bacterial small subunit ribosomal RNA", at positions 1 to 430 of the family's 1533-position model. Lineage: Bacteria; Bacillati; Bacillota; Bacilli; Caryophanales; Staphylococcaceae. The record is from RNAcentral.